AUAAACUGUAACUCACAUAUCAAGAGAUAUGGAGAAAGCUUGGCUCAAGUUUGCUCUCCUAAUUGGCCUCCUGGUUAUUGCAUCUUGUUUUCCAUUGGGAGCAGAAUCAAGGAGAGUAGUCAGUCUGCGUUGUAAGGUUGCUAAGGACUGCAAAUUUCUUUGUCCAACCUGCAAAUUUUGCUUUUGUUUUGACCACUUGUGCGCCUGUAGUAAUAAGGAGCUCACAGCGCAAGCCAUCAUUGGUCAGCAGGGAGAUUAGCAACAAGUUCCUUUGCAUUAUUAUAUUGCUAGAGCAUAAGGGAUGUGAAUAGACAAAGAGUUGAUCAAUAUAUAAUAGAAGUUGAUGACUA
Molecule: long non-coding RNA, 350 nt
Organism: Vitis vinifera (wine grape)
Lineage: Eukaryota; Viridiplantae; Streptophyta; Magnoliopsida; Vitales; Vitaceae
Exons: 2
Source: RefSeq, a predicted model, not a curated record